This is a long non-coding RNA of Daktulosphaira vitifoliae (grape phylloxera), 1067 nucleotides long. RefSeq lists it as uncharacterized. The record is from RefSeq and is a predicted model, not a curated record. The transcript has 3 exons. NCBI's taxonomy places the organism in Eukaryota, Metazoa, Arthropoda, Insecta, Hemiptera, Phylloxeridae.
GUUAUUAUGUUUUAUCACGAUAAUAUUUUUGUUGUACGCAUUGGCUGACGUGUGUACAAGGAAAUUUCUAGAAAAAUAAUCGUUUCACAUAAGACACGUUAGAUAAUUUCCACUUGUCGAACUCGAGAACUGAUGUUUAACUCAAAUACAGUCGCGCUAUUAACAACGUGUUGAACAUGCAGAAAAUCUACAAUAUGUCUUUGUACGUUGUGCAAAUAAGUUUAAGGCAACAACUGUCAUUAAUUUUUACGUCCAACAUAAUUAUGUGUUACUCGUUGAUUUAAACUUGAAAAUAAACAAAAGAAGGCAACUUUUCAUGAAAAGCUUUCUCCUUGAACUUAUAAUAGAAACCUUAAAAUGGCAUAAUCUAAUAUUUUUUAACACCCGGAAAAAAUAACAUCGAGUAAUGCUAUGACAGUCCUCGUGUGAUCUCAUAAUACAAAUACAGUGUUUCAAACAACGUUAAAUUGUAUUUUUUACAUAAAAAAACUAAUAAAUCUUUUUAAUUAUAAUAAGCACACGCGGAAUUAGAUUUGGACACACUAUUGUGUGCAAGUAUUAUUUUACAUGACUGUUGUUAAAACACUAAUUUCGGUUAAUAAUUUCGUUAAAACAGCAAUGGAAUCGUUCACGAGGGACUUGUUUCAAAAUGCAACCCGAAUAAUAUGGACGUCGCUCGCCAGAGAAUUAUUUCUAUUAUCCACUAAUUUAGCACAGUAAAUGUACAAAUAGAUUAUGUCGAUGAAGUAUAACCAUAAAAUAUUUUCACGACAAAAUAUAAUAAAUAGAUUCAACGCUUUAGAAGACAUUAUUUGAAGAACACCAAGACAAAAUUCUACUACAAUAAUUUCUACCGUUAUCAUAUAUUUUUUCAACCAAAUACAACGGUGAAUUGUAAUUAUAUCUACUUAGUUUUUAUUAGUACCUAUCCGUAUACGUAUGUGUAACACAAUGAUAUAGUUUAUUAAGGCAGUUUUGUGACUCUUACAGAGUCUAUAUUUUAUAUAUAACAAAGUUUCAAGAUUAACACACUUAGUUUUUUAAAUAAAAAUUAAAAAUAUUAAUAA